GGAGAACAGCCAGCCUCAACCCAGGAGAACAGCCAGGCUCAGCCCAGGAGAGCAGCCAGCCUCAACCCAGGAGAACAGAGAACAGCCAGUCUCAGCCCAGGAGAACAGCCAGCCUCAACCCAGGAGAGCAGUCAGCCUCAACUCAGGAGAACAGAGAACAGUCAGCUUCAACUCAGGAGAACAGAGAACAGCCAGCCUCAACCCAGGAGAACAGAGAACAGCCAGUCUCAACCCAGGAGAACAGCCAGCCUCAGCCCAGGAGAACAGUCAGCCUCAACUCAGGAGAACAGAGAACAGUCAGCUUCAACUCAGGAGAACAGAGAACAGCCAGUCUCAACUCAGGAGAACAGAGAACAGCCAGUCUCAACUCAGGAGAACAGCCAGCCUCAACCCAGGAGAACAGUCAGCCUCAGCCCAGGAGAACAGUCAGCCUCAGCCCAGGAGAACAGUCAGCCUCAGCCCAGGAGAACAGUCAGCCUCAGCCCAGGAGAACAGUCAGCCUCAGCCCAGGAGAACAGUCAGCCUCAACCCAGGAGAACAGCCAGCCUCAACCCAGGAGAACAGAGAACAGCCAGCCUCAACCCAGGAGAACAGCCAGCCUCAACCCAGGAGAACAGAGAACAGCCAGCCUCAACCCAGGAGAACAGCCAGCCUCAACCCAGGAGAACAGCCAGGCUUAGCCCAGGAGAGCAGCCAGUCUCAACCCAGGAGAACAGAGAACAGCCAGCCACAGCCCAGGAGAACAGCCAGCCUCAACCCAGGAGAGCAGCCAGCCUCAACCCAGGAGAGCAGCCAGCCUCAACCCAGGAGAACAGAGAACAGCCAGCCUCAACCCAGGAGAACAGCCAGCCUCAACCCAGGAGAACAGCCAGCCUCAGCCCAGGAGAACAGCCAGCCUCAACCCAGGAGAACAGCCAGCCUCAGCCCAGGAGAACAGUCAGUCUCAACUCAGGAGAACAGAGAACAGUCAGCUUCAACUCAGGAGAACAGCCGGUCUCUAGGUUGAAGGUAAGAGAGGAAGAUGGAGGUGUUCACUCUGAAAAGGACAUGGUAUUCUGGGAAGUGGAAUGUGUAUCUAUCUUCAACAUGAUGAUACCAUGGCAACACAACAUCCACCUCUCUAGUAAAGACUGACAGACAUUAAAGGGUUUCCAUGCCCUUUGCCCAUUCCAUGUCUCCCUUG
Molecule: long non-coding RNA, 1183 nt
Filed under: Salmo salar (Atlantic salmon)
Lineage: Eukaryota; Metazoa; Chordata; Actinopteri; Salmoniformes; Salmonidae
Description: lncRNA (ENSSSAG00000086315.1)
Source: RNAcentral